Molecule: long non-coding RNA, 239 nt
Organism: Lemur catta (Ring-tailed lemur)
Lineage: Eukaryota; Metazoa; Chordata; Mammalia; Primates; Lemuridae
Exons: 3
Source: RefSeq, a predicted model, not a curated record
UCCAUUUCACUGUCCACAAAACCACCAAGAUCCCAUCUCCAACAGAACAGGAUGUGUGACUGUUCCCUCAGUAACAAAACAGUGAACUUGACAAGUCUUGAGAGACCAUCACAAAAAUGAGGAACCUGGGAUUCAGAGAGACUCUGUAACAUCCAGAAUCAUGCAGGCAUCACAAGUCAAAAGGCCAGGCUGGCAAACAAAGAACACAGAGUUGCACUAGCUGUGCUAGAUACGGAAGA